GCUCUCGUAGUGUAGUGGUUAUCACGUCUGCUUAACACGCAGAAGGUCCCAGGUUCGAGCCCUGGCGAAAGCA
This 73-nucleotide transfer RNA is filed under the name Homarus gammarus (European lobster). RNAcentral describes it as "misc RNA ENSHGAG00000007079.1". It matches the Rfam family "tRNA". From Rfam's summary of the family: Transfer RNA (tRNA) molecules are approximately 80 nucleotides in length. Their secondary structure includes four short double-helical elements and three loops (D, anti-codon, and T loops). Lineage: Eukaryota; Metazoa; Arthropoda; Malacostraca; Decapoda; Nephropidae. RNAcentral also lists the same sequence under 1 other name. The record is from RNAcentral.